This 313-nucleotide ribosomal RNA is filed under the name uncultured eukaryote. RNAcentral's name for it is "partial large subunit ribosomal RNA". It matches the Rfam family "Eukaryotic large subunit ribosomal RNA", at positions 40 to 350 of the family's 3401-position model. The record is from RNAcentral.
AUAUUACUAAGCGGAGGAAAAGAAAUCAACGAAGAUUGCCUCAGUAGCGGCGAGUGAAGCGGCAAUAGCUCAAGUUUAGAAUCUGUGUCUUUUUAAGGCACCGAAUUGUAAUCUAAAGGGGCCAACCACAGGAGCGGCGGAGGCAUAAGUUCCUUGGAAUAGGACAUCACAGAGGGUGAAAAUCCCGUAUGUAGCCUCCUCCAAACCGAGCGUUGACCUUCUAUGAGUCGGGUUGUUUGGGAUUGCAGCCCUAAAUGGGAGAUAAACUUCUUCUAAGGCUAAAUAUCUAUGGGAGACCGAUAGCGCACAAGUA